Molecule: non-coding RNA, 103 nt
Organism: Acanthosepion pharaonis
Lineage: Eukaryota; Metazoa; Mollusca; Cephalopoda; Sepiida; Sepiidae
Source: the annotation of a GenBank genome assembly
AGGCUUAAAACACCGGUUCUCGUUCGAUCACCGAAGUUAAGCAUCGUAGAGCCAGGUCAGUACUUAGAUGGGGGACCGCUUGGGAAUACCUGGUACUGUAAGC